RNAcentral lists this non-coding RNA (27 nucleotides) under Homo sapiens (human). The record is from RNAcentral. Lineage: Eukaryota; Metazoa; Chordata; Mammalia; Primates; Hominidae.
UGACCGAUUACUGAGAGAUGCUAAAUU